This is a long non-coding RNA of Motacilla alba alba, 1409 nucleotides long. RefSeq lists it as uncharacterized. The transcript is spliced from 7 exons. The record is from RefSeq and is a predicted model, not a curated record. NCBI's taxonomy places the organism in Eukaryota, Metazoa, Chordata, Aves, Passeriformes, Motacillidae.
AGAGACAGGGGUUACAGGAAACAUGCAGCUGGAUUCACUUCUGCAAAGAGGGGACUGAAGGAGUCAGGCAGGCACCCUCUGAGCUGAACUGGGGUCACGAAGUAAUUACCUUCUUUAGAGGAAGGGUUCUGGCUUGAUCCUGCCCUCAGACUCUUCUGAUAAGGACUAGGAAGGUGCUCAUUGGUUUCUGCAGUGCUGUAGUCACUUAAAAAUGCAAAUGGCCAGGCAUACCAGAUCCUUUCCUCCAGCCAGUUCCAUGACAGCAAAUGGGACCUGUAAAUAAAGUCUGUCAGAGAUCUUUCUGUCAGCACCCAGAAAUUACUUUCUCCUGCUGUUCUCUAGUUUUCACUUCAAACCAGUGUCUUUUCUACAUGAGCUGCUGAUUUUGAUGCUGUUCCAUUUUACAUUUGUCAACUGUUUGUCAACUGAGCAGUCAAAGUUUCUGUCCUGCAGAUCAAGUCACCCCCCUGAGUAUUUCACAGGUAAACUCUCCCUUGCUGUGGUUUGAGAGAUUGAGAUCUCUUCGAGUGAGAUUAAGAUCAGCAAAAAAGGAAAUUUAGUCCUUUGCUCCUUAAAGACACAGUAAUGGCAGCAGUAUCCUUGUGAGUUCUUCCAGGAAGAAAUGGCCAGGAAGGCAUGCACAGAGAUACAAAUGCACCUGGGACAAGCGCCUCCCACAUCAACAUCCAAGGGACUCCUGGUAGGGGCAGCUGCUAUUCAGCAGAGCAGAGAUUUUCAGCCAGGUCUUAACAGCAGAUCUUACUGAAGCCCAUGGGUGCCCUCUUCUCCUUCUAGUCAGAGGAAUUGAGAAAACAUCUGACUGCUCCUUUUACAGUGAUAACUGAAAAAGCAAGGUCUCCUAGACCAACUGAUGAUGGGCUUGUUGUUACACUGAAAAAGAAACAACAAAAAAACCCUAAAAGAAUCACACCAGAGGCAGAUGUAAAAUAUCAUCUCAGCUAGCAAGACUUAAAUACCCAGCGUGAAACGAGUCAGGAAAAGUCACUGCUCAGCAGAGCUGGGAGGCUUCACAGACUGGAUAGCCACAGUGAGCUAAGCCAACACGUCUUGUUCUGAGCGGGCCACCACAGCUUGCUAACCCAAAAGGGAUUUGCUGCUUUCUUUUAAGAGGAGAGAUCCUGGAGACUUCAUCUAACUCCAGCUGAGCAGCAGCAAAACCCUGGAAAGGAAAAUGCCAAGAGCUUGGGAUGCUCUCACCUACCUGAAGAGGUACUGUGAUGCUCUUUCUCUCUAAGGAACAAGUAAAUAAAAGAACAAGCCUGAUUUUCAUCGGUGGCUUAAAAGUUGUUGUUUUGCACUUGGGUUGGAGCACAGAGUUUUGUUUAUCUGGAAGCCUUCCACUCCAUACUAGUGCUCAGUAUCCUCUUCAUCCUCACCUUCCUAAGCAC